Long non-coding RNA from Myxocyprinus asiaticus (Chinese sucker), 575 nucleotides. RefSeq lists it as uncharacterized. The record is from RefSeq and is a predicted model, not a curated record. Lineage: Eukaryota; Metazoa; Chordata; Actinopteri; Cypriniformes; Catostomidae. The transcript is spliced from 3 exons.
GGAAAUUCUCUUCCUACUGGCAUCAUUGUUGGUGUUGUUGCUGCUGUAAUUCUAUUGACUGUCAUUGUUGGCAUUGGUUAUAUGGUGUAUCGGAAGAAGAAAGACUUCAAACUUGUCAGCGGAAUAUGAGACAUCAGGUGCGUGUGUCACUGAUUCACCAGGCUCCCUCUCUCACUCCACACUCCGCUCUCUCUCCCUGAAUUACUAAUUGCUCACACCUGAUCCCAGUCCAGCACUCAAUCACAUUCCCUCCACAAAUACUCACCCGGCCACUUCAUCGAGGUCUAGUCUCCCCAUGGAAUACAGAUUCACUUACCUGCUGCUAACCUGUCCUCUAGCGAGGUCUACAAAGUUCCUCUCCAGCAUCUCCAACGAUCUGUUUCCCCUGUCUGAUGUUUGUGAGUGUGGCCUAUCAUGGACUCUCACUUCAUAUACGUAUACAGACUGUUAUCAGUGCACUGCUCAUCAUUUACUGUUCUACUUCUGAUACUUGCCUAUUUUAUUUAUUUAUUUAUUUUUUUUCUGUAAUAAGACUGAUUUGCUUUUUGGUUCAGUAUUAAUUAAAUUGGACAAUA